Molecule: ribosomal RNA, 497 nt
Filed under: uncultured bacterium
Lineage: Bacteria
Description: partial 16S ribosomal RNA
Rfam family: Bacterial small subunit ribosomal RNA
Source: RNAcentral
GAUGAACGCUGGCGGCGUGCCUAAUACAUGCAAGUCGAGCGAACGGACGAGAAUCUUGCUUCUCUGAUGUUAGCGGCGGACGGGUGAGUAACACGUGGAUAACCUACCUAUAAGACUUGGAUAACUUCGGGAGACCGGAGCUAAUACCGUAUACUAUUUUGAACCGCAUGGUUCAAAAGUGAAAGACGGUCUUGCUGUCACUUAUACAUGGAUCCGCGCUGCAUUAUCUAGUGGGUAAGGGAACGGCUUACCAAGGCAACGAUGCAUAGCCGACCUGAGAGGGAGAACGGGCAGCCUAGCAGUGAGGCACAGCCGCGACUUCUAGGGUAGGACGCAGUAGGGACUCCUACGCGAUGGGGGAGAGCCUGAUGGAGCACAGUCGCGUGAGUGCUGAAGGACUUAGGCUGGGAAAAUUAUGUUAUAAGGGAAGAACAUAUGUGUAAGCAACUGUGAACAUAUUGACGGUACCUAAAUAGAAAGCCCCGGCUAACUACGUG